GGCGAACGCUGGCGGCGUGCUUAACACAUACAAGUCGAACGGAAAGGCCCUGCUUUUGUGGGGUGCUCGAGUGGCGAACGGGUGAGUAACACGUGAGUAACCUGCCCUUGACUUUGGGAUAACUUCAGGAAACUGGGGCUAAUACCGGAUAGGAGCUCCUGCUGCAUGGUGGGGGUUGGAAAGUUUCGGCGGUUGGGGAUGGACUCGCGGCUUAUCAGCUUGUUGGCGGGGUAGUGGCUUACCAAGGCUUUGACGGGUAGCCGGCCUGAGAGGGUGACCGGCCACAUUGGGACUGAGAUACGGCCCAGACUCCUACGGGAGGCAGCAGUGGGGAAUAUUGCACAAUGGGCGGAAGCCUGAUGCAGCAACGCCGCGUGCGGGAUGACGGCCUUCGGGUUGUAAACCGCUUUCGCCUGUGACGAAGCGUGAGUGACGGUAAUGGGUAAAGGAGCACCGGCUAACUACGUG
RNAcentral lists this ribosomal RNA (468 nucleotides) under uncultured bacterium. RNAcentral describes it as "partial 16S ribosomal RNA". It matches the Rfam family "Bacterial small subunit ribosomal RNA", at positions 28 to 507 of the family's 1533-position model. The record is from RNAcentral.